UAACCGGAUUAGAUACCCUGGUACUCCACGCCCUAAACGAUGUCUACUAGUUGUCGGGUUUUAAUUAACUUGGUAACGCAGCUAACGCGUGAAGUAGACCGCCUGGGGAGUACGGUCGCAAGAUUAAAACUCAAAGGAAUUGACGGGGACCCGCACAAGCGGUGGAUGAUGUGGAUUAAUUCGAUGCAACGCGAAAAACCUUACCUACCCUUGACAUGUCAGGAAGUCUGGAGAGAUCUGGAUGUGCCCGAAAGGGAACCUGAACACAGGUGCUGCAUGGCUGUCGUCAGCUCGUGUCGUGAGAUGUUGGGUUAAGUCCCGCAACGAGCGCAACCCUUGUCAUUAGUUGCUACGAAAGGGCACUCUAAUGAGACUGCCGGUGACAAACCGGAGGAAGGUGGGGAUGACGUCAAGUCCUCAUGGCCCUUAUGGGUAGGGCUUCACACGUCAUACAAUGGUGCAUACAGAGGGCCGCCAACCCGCGAGGGGGAGCUAAUCCCAGAAAGUGCGUCGUAGUCCGGAUCGCAGUCUGCAACUCGACUGCGUGAAGUUGGAAUCGCUAGUAAUCGCGGAUCAGCAUGUCGCGGUGAAUACGUUCCCGGGUCUUGUACACACCGCCCGUCACACCAUGGGAGCGGGUUUUACCAGAAGUAGGUAGCUUAACCGCAAGGGGGGCGCUUACCACGGUAGGAUUCGUGACUGGGGUGAAGUCGUAACAAGGUAACCA
This 727-nucleotide ribosomal RNA is filed under the name uncultured Massilia sp. RNAcentral describes it as "bacterial SSU rRNA". It matches the Rfam family "Bacterial small subunit ribosomal RNA", at positions 770 to 1502 of the family's 1533-position model. The record is from RNAcentral. Lineage: Bacteria; Pseudomonadati; Pseudomonadota; Betaproteobacteria; Burkholderiales; Oxalobacteraceae.